CCUACGGGUGGCAGCAGUGAGGAAUAUUGGUCAAUGGACGCGAGUCUGAACCAGCCAAGUAGCGUGAAGGAUGACUGCCCUAUGGGUUGUAAACUUCUUUUAUAUGGGAAUAAAAUGUUCCACGUGUGGGAUUUUGUAUGUACCAUAUGAAUAAGGAUCGGCUAACUCCGUGCCAGCAGCCGCGGUAAUACGGAGGAUCCGAGCGUUAUCCGGAUUUAUUGGGUUUAAAGGGAGCGUAGGUGGAUUGUUAAGUCAGUUGUGAAAGUUUGCGGCUCAACCGUAAAAUUGCAGUUGAAACUGGCAGUCUUGAGUACAGUAGAGGUGGGCGGAAUUCGUGGUGUAGCGGUGAAAUGCUUAGAUAUCACGAAGAACUCCGAUUGCGAAGGCAGUUCACUGGACUGCAACUGACACUGAGGCCCGAAAGUGUGGGUAUCAAACAGGAUUAGAGACCCCAGUAGUC
RNAcentral lists this ribosomal RNA (460 nucleotides) under uncultured bacterium. RNAcentral describes it as "partial 16S ribosomal RNA". It matches the Rfam family "Bacterial small subunit ribosomal RNA", at positions 338 to 795 of the family's 1533-position model. The record is from RNAcentral.